GCCUUGCGGGAUGAUGACGUGAUCGCGUAUCUCCUCGCUGGUUUUAGCCCUGACUAUAAUCCCUUUGUCACCUCGAUGAAUACCAAGAGUGAAAGCCCUCACACUUUAUGAUGUGUUUGCACAUCUAAUGGUGUUUGAAGC
Molecule: small nucleolar RNA, 141 nt
Organism: Cucurbita pepo subsp. pepo (vegetable marrow)
Lineage: Eukaryota; Viridiplantae; Streptophyta; Magnoliopsida; Cucurbitales; Cucurbitaceae
Product: small nucleolar RNA Z247
Source: RefSeq, a predicted model, not a curated record